GACUAAAAUGCUUUCAAAAUUUUGAAAUCGCGCUGUACAAAUUGGCUGCGCACUAAUUAACGCAACCACUUCCAGCUGCCAGACGGCCCUUACCCUAACCGUGAGAGCACCAAGGACCACAUACCAAAAAACCAGCCUGACUAAAAUGCUUGCUCGAAAACGUUGCUGGCUCCCGUACUAAAAUCUUAAACCACUACCGGAUUAUGAGUAUUUAAAACAGGAAAAUCAUAAGCUUAUGAUUAAAGUUCGUGCAUUUUAUGGAGGGAAAACAGAAAUAUCAGUGGAUGAAUUAAGUACUGAUGACACCACUAUUGCAUCUUCAAGGGAUAGAGUUGAAACAGUAUUUUUACCUUUGAAUGAUCAAUAUGACCAGAUUGUUAAAAGAAGAGGAAUUGUAUUAUCCUACCUGGAUCCUAUAUUAGCCAAAUUAUUAUUAGAAUACAACAUAAAUGAAAACAUAUUUCAAUUCAAGCAUUUGAAUUAGAUGCCACGAACAUUACAUUUAAGCCUGCCAUGCAGAAACUUUUGGCACUUUUUAUACUAGGAUUGAUGUCUCUACAAUACAAUCUAAAAGAAAAAUUGAACAAUAUACUUUCGUCAAAGUUAUUUGCACAAAUAUUAAAUGCAUAUAAUGUCCAUGUUAAUGAGUUUAUUAAUAUAAUAAAUGAUGUGACUGAUAUAGAAAAAGUAAUAAGCGCAAGGAAAAUAUGAACUGCCAGACGGCCCUUACCCUAACCGUGAGAGCACCAAGGACCACAUACCAAAAAACCAGCCUGACUAAAAUGCUUGCUCGAAAACGUUGCUGGCUCCCGUACUAAAAUCUUAAACCACUACCGGAUUAUGAGUAUUUAAAACAGGAAAAUCAUAAGCUUAUGAUUAAAGUUCGUGCAUUUUAUGGAGGGAAAACAGAAAUAUCAGUGGAUGAAUUAAGUACUGAUGACACCACUAUUGCAUCUUCAAGGGAUAGAGUUGAAACAGUAUUUUUACCUUUGAAUGAUCAAUAUGACCAGAUUGUUAAAAGAAGAGGAAUUGUAUUAUCCUACCUGGAUCCUAUAUUAGCCAAAUUAUUAUUAGAAUACAACAUAAAUGAAAACAUAUUUCAAUUCAAGCAUUUGAAUUAGAUGCCACGAACAUUACAUUUAAGCCUGCCAUGCAGAAACUUUUGGCACUUUUUAUACUAGGAUUGAUGUCUCUACAAUACAAUCUAAAAGAAAAAUUGAACAAUAUACUUUCGUCAAAGUUAUUUGCACAAAUAUUAAAUGCAUAUAAUGUCCAUGUUAAUGAGUUUAUUAAUAUAAUAAAUGAUGUGACUGAUAUAGAAAAAGUAAUAAGCG
Molecule: long non-coding RNA, 1334 nt
Organism: Ctenocephalides felis (cat flea)
Lineage: Eukaryota; Metazoa; Arthropoda; Insecta; Siphonaptera; Pulicidae
Exons: 6
Source: RefSeq, a predicted model, not a curated record